GUCUGUUCGACUAUUAAAAUUUUACAUGAUUAGAGUUAAGAUCGGCGUAAGCCAGAUCAGUUUCUAUCUUUA
Molecule: transfer RNA, 72 nt
Filed under: Sigalphus bicolor
Lineage: Eukaryota; Metazoa; Arthropoda; Insecta; Hymenoptera; Braconidae
Description: tRNA-Leu
Source: RNAcentral